GACGAACGCUGGCGGCGUGCCUAAUACAUGCAAGUUGAGCGCUGAAGGUUGGUACUUGUACCAACUGGAUGAGCAGCGAACGGGUGAGUAACGCGUGGGGAAUCUGCCUUUGAGCGGGGGACAACAUUUGGAAACGAGUGCUAAUACCGCAUAAAAACUUUAAACACAAGUUUUAAGUUUGAAAGAUGCAAUUGCAUCACUCAAAGAUGAUCCCGCGUUGUAUUAGCUAGUUGGUGAGGUAAAGGCUCACCAAGGCGAUGAUACAUAGCCGACCUGAGAGGGUGAUCGGCCACAGUGGGACUGAGACACGGCCCAAACUCCUACGGGAGGCAGCAGUAGGGAAUCUUCGGCAAUGGACGAAAGUCUGACCGAGCAACGCCGCGUGAGUGAAGAAGGUUUUCGGAUCGUAAAACUCUGUUGGUAGAGAAGAACGUUGGUGAGAGUGGAAAGCUCAUCAAGUGACGGUAACUACCCAGAAAGGGACGGCUAACUACGUG
Molecule: ribosomal RNA, 497 nt
Filed under: uncultured bacterium
Lineage: Bacteria
Description: partial 16S ribosomal RNA
Rfam family: Bacterial small subunit ribosomal RNA
Source: RNAcentral